Molecule: long non-coding RNA, 1748 nt
Filed under: Phasianus colchicus (ring-necked pheasant)
Lineage: Eukaryota; Metazoa; Chordata; Aves; Galliformes; Phasianidae
Description: lncRNA (ENSPCLG00000020712.1)
Source: RNAcentral
GGCGGCGAGACGGGGGCCGCCCCAGCGGAACGGCCGCGGGGAGCCGGGCGCGGGGCGGCCUCGCCGCGCCGGGGGUCGUCGGCCCCGGGAAGGGCUCGGUACGCCCGUAGGCCGGGCUUCGUGUCCGGCUGAGCCCCUGUGCUCCCAGUGCUGCGCUGGGGCCGUUCGCUGUUGGGGCAGACGGCCGGUUUGUGCUCGCUGCUGAACGGUCUUCCUCUCUUGUUUAUAAAACCUAACGAGGCCCAUCGUAAGAGAUGUGGGUAGUGAAGGUUGGCUCUGAUGCACUGCGUUAGGUGCCGGGCCAGUUCCCAAGGUAGCACUUUCAGUUCUCCCAGUCCCAUGCUGCUAGGACAAGGGAGGGGGACCGAAACGUGAGGCGACUGAGGAUCCCAUCCUGACGAAGUGUGAGGGGUGGAGACAGAGUGGGUCAGGGGAACAGAGUCUGCUUCUGUGACAUCAACACAGCGGCAGUGGCACGGCAGGGCCUUGGCAACGCCGGGCAGCCCUGCUGCUGUCUGUCUGUCAGGCUUGGUCAGAAUCACAGACGUGACACACGAUGCGUUUGCAGUUAGACUGAAUGCUGACAAGGCAGAGCUAUAUCAUGUUACAUCAACUGAGGAUAUGGCCCAGAACUCUGUAAAGUAGCAAUUCUCACCCUGGUUAUCAUGAGUCUACUCUUUUUAUCUUGGAAGGAGCUUGCAUUAAAAGUAGCAUGAACUACUAGGCCCUUGCUGAAAUUGAUUAGAGAAUAAUUUGUGUGAAGGAUAAGUCUCCUUCUAAUGCUGAGGGAAGUUCUGCUUCUGCUUGGAACACUUAAAAGGCACCCUUUGCCAGAUGAAGGCUGCAGUUGCACUGACAUACAGUGCAGAUGGAAAAUAAACAUCUGCCUCAAUCAAGAGAGAAGACCAAAGACAAGGUUGACGAAUAUUAUCUGGCAUGACUAUCUUUGCAGGAAAGCAUAUAAAUGCUACAGGACCAAAACCACUGGCAUCGUCUGGUGUUGUCCUUAUGUGGUUACUGACCAUGAAGAGAGAUGAUUAGUAUGCACUCUCCAAGGAGGAGUAGUGCAGAUGCUCAGAAUGAUAUGAUUCCAACUCACUAGUAUGUGUUUUGCUAUAGCAAUACUAUGCUAGUUACAGAGCAGUUCAAUAUUUUUUUUCUCAGAGCUUCAAUGACAUUUCAUAUCCUCAAAUGUUCUCUUUCUCUCUCUCUUUGAUUGGGGGGAAGAGCAGGUUUAGCAGCAAUUAUACUGUUAAACAUAUUUAAAAAAUGGAAAUAUAUUCAAUUUUCAACUAUUUUUUCUUUAAGCACAUUAGGAAAAAUUAUAUAUGUCCAGUUCUAAACAUAGUCAGUUUGCAGAGAAGGAUUUAUAAGCAUUUAGACCAUUCAAUUGACAGCAGACUAUUCAAAUGAUUCCCAUUUUACCUUUGGGAGAGAAAAAGAGUAGUGUACAGUUAAAGCAUUUAAAGUGACUCUACACACAUGCAUGUAUGCACAUACCUACUCUGAGCUGGUGCAGAGUUUGAUUCUUCCACAAAAGCUUGCAUGACAGAGAAUAGAUGCACUUCCACAGAUUCAAUUUCUCUAGGAGGAUUUCUUUGUUAGAUUAAAAUAGGAGCCUUACUUCUAUUCACUGUGAUGAUGUUUCAUUUUUUAUUUCAUUUUUGGCUGUGUAAGUUCAAGCUGCCUCUCUUUACUCUGGAAGAGAGUUGAGAGGGUCACAUGAAUUGUUGUUCAGUCAUAUUUAG